ACGCCGAGGGUUAAAAUCCCUCCUACUGCU
RNAcentral lists this transfer RNA (30 nucleotides) under Odontesthes argentinensis. Its description in RNAcentral is "partial tRNA-Thr". RNAcentral also lists the same sequence under 4 other names. Lineage: Eukaryota; Metazoa; Chordata; Actinopteri; Atheriniformes; Atherinopsidae. The record is from RNAcentral.